GUUGAACGCUGGCGGCAGGCCUAACACAUGCAAGUCGAGCGGAUGAAGGGAGCUUACUCCUGGAUUCAGCGGCGGACGGGUGAGUAAUGCCUAGGAAUCUGCCUGGUAGUGGGGGAUAACGUCCGGAAACGGGCGCUAAUACCGCAUACGUCCUGAGGGAGAAAGUGGGGGAUCUUCGGACCUCACGCUAUCAGAUGAGCCUAGGUCGGAUUAGCUAGUUGGUGGGGUAAAGGCCUACCAAGGCGACGAUCCGUAACUGGUCUGAGAGGAUGAUCAGUCACACUGGAACUGAGACACGGUCCAGACUCCUACGGGAGGCAGCAGUGGGGAAUAUUGGACAAAGGGCGAAAGCCUGAUCCAGCCAUGCCGCGUGUGUGAAGAAGGUCUUCGGAUUGUAAAGCACUUUAAGUUGGGAGGAAGGGCAGUAAGUUAAUACCUUGCUGUUUUGACGUUACCAACAGAAUAAGCACCGGCUAACUUCGUG
This 484-nucleotide ribosomal RNA is filed under the name uncultured bacterium. RNAcentral describes it as "partial 16S ribosomal RNA". It matches the Rfam family "Bacterial small subunit ribosomal RNA", at positions 28 to 507 of the family's 1533-position model. The record is from RNAcentral.